UUUACGAAGUGAAAAGAAAUUCGACUGGCCAUGUCGUCCAGACUGCGGGACCCGUUUCUCUCGCCCUUGAGUGGCUUUCUCUUCGCUACAAUUUCACAUAUUCAUACAUCCCAAUGACUGGACCUAAUAUGAUCGUAGAUGAUUUGCCAAAUCAACGAGGAGGAAUGACUUUCUUACGUCAAGGAGAGGCUGAAUUGUAUCUCGGGGCUUUAGUCGAAUCAGUAGAGAGAUUUAAAAAUGCAGAUUUUUCAUCUCCGUGGUUGUCCGGUUCUUUUAGUAUCCUUAUACCAAUCCCUAAUGCUUCUACUAACAUUGGCGCUUUGA
Daphnia pulex (common water flea) is the source of this 324-nucleotide long non-coding RNA. RefSeq lists it as uncharacterized. The record is from RefSeq and is a predicted model, not a curated record. Lineage: Eukaryota; Metazoa; Arthropoda; Branchiopoda; Diplostraca; Daphniidae. The transcript is spliced from 3 exons.